Molecule: non-coding RNA, 2125 nt
Organism: Arachis ipaensis
Lineage: Eukaryota; Viridiplantae; Streptophyta; Magnoliopsida; Fabales; Fabaceae
Source: RefSeq, a predicted model, not a curated record
GUUGGUUUGUCAAUUCCUUGUGGUCCUUAUUACCUUACUGCGUCACACGCAAUCACCCCCAUUUCCCGGUCCUAUAUUUUCCCCAGAUCUACCCUCACUCAACUCCCAAUCCUUCACAAACACACACACUCGCUCCAUCUCCAACCUCUGCUUCAGAUCUACCUCAAUGGGUGGGGAAUUAUGGUAUGAAUCAUCACCGAAAAGGGUUCCAAGGAGGGUCUGGUUAAGGUUCCAAAUCUCAAUCGGCGUCCUCGUGGGUGGAAAUCACACCUCCUCCAGGUUUUGCACUCGCUAAUCAUCUCUUCUUCUCCACUUUCCGGCUUUCAAAUCUUUCAAGAACUCUUUCUUGUGUUCAGUCAAUCAACCGAACUCCGAGCUUCCUUUUUUUUUUAUUUAAAUUUUUCUUUAUUGGUGUUAUACUCCAGAUCCUGAAGGGGUCCAUAGCGAGGCGCGUGUUCUUCCGCUCAAUCAUGCUCGCCUCCGCCAUCUCGAUCGUUUCUCUGCUCCGCGCCUUCUCCGCCUUCGACCUGCCUGACUUAGCUCCGGUGACACUGACCUACACCGACUGCGUCGCCGCAGGUUCCGAAAUGCGUUUCGAAAACGCCACUCUCAGAGCCGCGUGCUCAGCACUUUCUGGAGCUCCUUCUACUGCGAGAAAGACGAAAACUUGACGGUCAACGUGGUCAACGACCUUAUGAAGAAGCAACUGUUGGAUUGCGGAGCCAAGAGCCUCUGCGUCGGAGAAGGUUCGGCGAUGGCCGUCGCCGCCAUGAAGCACAUGGGAUUCUCCAGCGUUACCGGUGUCCACAGGCACCGGUUCUUCUCCCUCAAGCAGAAGAAAAUCGUGUACGUGCUCAAUUAUCAGGACUAAAAACUAAAACAAAUAUAUACAUUGCUUUUCUAUUUACACUCCUAUCCUUUCGUUGGUAUUUCAUUUUCACAAGAAACUGAUGAGUGGGGUUUGUUUUCUGUGUUGAACAAGCGAGCCCACAAGCCAUCUUCAAGGAUCCAUUCAGGAGGGGAGAGAAUAUUCUUGUUAUUUGUGAUACAUACACCCCAGCUGGAGAGCCAAUCUCUACAAACAAGAGACACAAUGCUGCCAAGAUCUUCAGUCACCCUUAUGUAGCCUCUAAAGAACCAUGGUUGAAAAAGCUAGGAAUGGAUCAAAGGAGUGAAGAAGAAAGCAUGCAAAGUGGAGAAAUCAUGGAAAAUAAGGAUUUGGGAUGCAUUCAUUGACGCGCACGCGCACGCGUAGCAGACGCCACGCGUGAAAUGUGAGGUCGCCAGGCAACGCGUACGUGUGGAACGCAAAUUGCCAAGCGACGCGUACGCGUGACCCACGCGUACGUGUCGACGCUCGCACGUCGGUGUUUUUGGGUGACAAAUUUCUAAUCCCAACACUUUUGCAUUUCAUUUUUAUUUGCAUUUUAUUUUUAGAUCUUUUAGGAUCUUUUGUUGCAUUUUCUUAUUUUUGCAUAUAUAUACAUAAUAAGCUUAGCCAAAAUAAUGAAAAUUUUCAAGAUUUCUAUCUAUAGGGCAUUGACAUUCCAAUUGAUUUGAGUAAAAAUCUUUUAUUGAACUUGCUUGAAUUAUAUAUUGUGGAACAUGUUUUGAGCUAAGAACACAAACAUGUGAGUUUUGAGCCUAAUUGCGUGGUUACAUCUUAUAACCACUUAUCUUUCUUCUUGUGUGCAUUAAUCUCUUUCUAUGAUUGUAAUUUUUGAUUUGUUUGAUUCUUUAUGUCCAUUAUUUUGUGUAGACAUGCAUUUGUAUGAUUGAGGUCAUCAUUUUAUUUAGCCCACUUACCUAAAUAGCUUACCUUUCAUCAACCAUUGUUAGCCAACUUUGAGCCUAUGAUAAACCCACUUGUUUUUAAUUUUAGCACAUUACAAGCCUUGAAGCAAAAAACAAUAAAUGUCCUUUAUUUGGAUCUUUGAUUAGCUUAGGCUAGUGAGUGUGUAUCAUUCAAAUGUGGGGAAACUUGGGAUAUUGGUUGAGGGGAAAAAAAAAAGAAGAAAAGUGGGUGUGUUGUAAUUUUUGUUGAAAAUAUAGGUAAUUGGGUAUAUACUCAUGCGUUAAUUAAAUGUAAAACUAUAUGCAUUGAUGCUUUUGUUUGUACUUUAUU